This 492-nucleotide ribosomal RNA is filed under the name uncultured bacterium. RNAcentral's name for it is "partial 16S ribosomal RNA". It matches the Rfam family "Bacterial small subunit ribosomal RNA", at positions 29 to 507 of the family's 1533-position model. The record is from RNAcentral.
AGUGAACGCUGGCGGUAGGCCUAACACGUGCAAGUCGAACGGCAGCACAGUAAGAGCUUGCUCUUACGGGUGGCGAGUGGCGGACGGGUGAGGAAUACAUCGGAAUCUACUUUUUCGUGGGGGAUAACGUAGGGAAACUUACGCUAAUGCCGCAUACGACCUACGGGUGAAAGCAGGGGAUCUUCGGACCUUGCGCGAUUGAAUGAGCCGAUGUCGGAUUAGCUAGUUGGCGGGGUAAAGGCCCACCAAGGCGACGAUCCGUAGCUGGUCUGAGAGGAUGAUCAGCCACACUGGAACUGAGACACGGUCCAGACUCCUACGGGAGGCAGCAGUGGGGAAUAUUGGACAAUGGGCGCAAGCCUGAUCCAGCCAUACCGCGUGGGUGAAGAAGGCCUUCGGGUUGUAAAGCCCUUUUGUUGGGAAAGAAAAGCAGCAGGUUAAUACCCCGCUGUUCUGACGGUACCCAAAGAAUAAGCACCGGCUAACUUCGUG